RNAcentral lists this ribosomal RNA (1404 nucleotides) under Alexandrium tamarense species complex group I. RNAcentral describes it as "eukaryotic LSU rRNA". The stretch from base 543 to 1404 matches the Rfam family "Eukaryotic large subunit ribosomal RNA", at positions 1 to 816 of the family's 3401-position model. The record is from RNAcentral. Lineage: Eukaryota; Dinophyceae; Gonyaulacales; Pyrocystaceae.
AACCUGCUGAAGGAUCAUGUGCACACGUGUGUACACUAACCUGCUAAUGAUAUUGUGGGCGGUGUAAGCUUGCAUUACAAUAAUAUUACAUGUGCCCUGGGCUGUGUGACUUGUUUUGCAAACAUUCGUUAUGCAUUGCAUAAACAAGUUUGGUAAACUGAGUGGUGCUGUGUUUGUGUACGAUGAUUAGGUUUUGCAACGAAUGUUUUAGUUCAAUACAUGAUGAAUAAUGCAGGACAAUGCAGUAUGCAUUGUGAAUUGCAGAAUUCCGUGAGCUAACAUAUGUUUGAAUGUUACUUGCGCCUUUGGGAUAUUCUUGAAGGUUUGCUUGGUUCAAUGCCAAGUAUCUUCCAUAUGCAAUACUGCUGUUUAGCAUUGCUGUGAACAAGGAGAGUCAAUGUGUAUUGCAUUGAACAUGGAUGUGUUGCAGCUGCUUUUGCAACCUAAGCAUGGUUGAUUGGGGGCAAACUUGUUUCGUCAUGUGCUGGUUGCUGUUUUGCAAAAUGUGCACAACUGAGACAAGCUGAAGACUUGCAUAUGCUUAGCAUGAAGUGAAGCACAUACACCUGCUGAGUUUAAGCAUAUAAGUAAGUGGUGGAAAUUAAACCAAAUGGGAUAUCUUUAGUAAUUACGAAUGAACAAGGAUAUGCUUAGCUUGACAAAUGGAGCUAUUGGCUUUGAAUUGUAUUGUGGAAAUGUAUUACCAACAGAGGUGCAGGUGCCAGCAUAUUGAAAUAGAGCGUCAAUGAGGGUGAGAAUCCUGUUUGCCAUGUGCAGCCCUUUGUGCACGGUGUAUAUUUGCUGAGUCACACUCCCUGGCAUUGGAAUGCAAAGUGGGUGGUAAGUUUCAUGUAAAGGUAAACAUGCAACUGAGACUGAUAGCACACAAGUGCCAUGAGGGAAAUAUGAAAAAGGUUUUUGAAAAGAUAAUAAAAUGAGUUUGUAUUUGCUGAACACAAAGUAAACAGACUUGAUUUGCUUGGUGGGAGUGUUGCACUUGCUUGACAAGAGCUUUGGGCUGUGUGUGUAAUGAUUCGUUCUUUGCAUGCCAGUUUCUAUGUGUACAUCUGAUUACCUUUGCACAUGAAUGAUAAGUCUCCUGUGGGGGGUGGAUUGCAUGUGCAUGUAAUGAUUUGUGUUUUGAUAAAUGUGUCUGGUGUAUGUGUGUGUGUUCCUGUGCUUGGGGAUGCUUCCUUCCUUGGACUUACAAGCCCUGACACACACAUGCUGGCAAAAUGCUUCUGCUUGACCCGUCUUGAAACACGGACCAAGGAGUCUAACAUAUGUGCAACGUUUGAAGGUGGUAUACCUUUGUGUGCAGUGAAAGUGUCAGCUGGGAUGUGUGCACCAGCACCCAAUUAAUUAGCGGACAGAGGUUUGAGUUGGAGCAUAUCUAUUAGGACC